UUCACCAUCUAGGUCAAAGAAACAAAUAUUGUCUAUGUUGUUCUUCAUUCAAGGAGUAAACCCAAAAAGUGUGAAAGGAAUAAUCUCAGCUCCAGGAAACUGACUAUUAAAACCAAUGAUUGCAUACGUUUUACCUCAUGAAAGAGACUUUUUAGAUCAUACGAUGGCAAAGAUUUAGCUCAAAGAAAAUAUGGAAGAAAUUUUUGUUUUUACGCUUAGGAGAAGGCUUAAAUACGGUAAAGCUUUGGGCAAUCCUGAUGGUGCUCUUAUCAAUGGACGAAGUCCAAAUGGUUAUUCAUUAACAGUGAAUCAAGAGCAGGUGUUGACUGCUACCGAGGUUGGACGGGAUGGUGUAAACGUGUGGGCCACACCAAGCACAUGAGGAGCCACAACAAUAUCCAACAUACUAUACAUUCACAUCAUAUGUGGAGACUCUCAAAUGGUGUUUAAGAUACUAUUGCUUGCUUCACCUAUGAACAAAAUGGUAAAUCUAUGGACAAAUUGUGAAGAUAUACAAUCUCAGGGCACUCUUGGCUGUGGUGGCUUAGAUAUUCCUCAACAAGUUCAGGUAAAUAUGCACCAUCUACAAUGAUUCAGUCUACUUUAAUCUGGGUUUUCAUUGUAGCUCCAGAGAUAGCAGCUGCAACAUCAGCCACUUAUGCAACAUCCAUUGCCUCCGACUUUGGAAAAUCAUUUCUAGUGGUGUGCCACAAGAGAAACUUCUGCCUUCGGGCCAUCCACAAGAUCCACACACUUUGUAAAUUAUAUUUCACCACCAUCAUCAACAACUUUUACUCAAUUAUUUCCAAUUUGUAGAUGCAGUUCUAGAAAUCACAAGGUGUAAUAAUUUUUUGAAGGAUGCAGUGGACUUGAACGAGUUGUUGGCAAGUGAUGGACAAGCCUCCUUCCAAUCCCCUCAUAUCAAAAUCAUGGAGGAACACUAUUAUGAAAAUAUUUUGAACUGGUUUUAUCUAGGUCUGUAACACCUUUUGUUUGCUUUGAUCUAUUCCUUUGUAUAUCAAGUUGGU
This is an RNA transcript of Cryptomeria japonica (Japanese cedar), 1028 nucleotides long. It is a transcript of the gene named monocopper oxidase-like protein SKS1, with no coding region annotated. The record is from RefSeq and is a predicted model, not a curated record. NCBI's taxonomy places the organism in Eukaryota, Viridiplantae, Streptophyta, Pinopsida, Cupressales, Cupressaceae. The transcript is spliced from 4 exons.